GACGAACGCUGGCGGCGUGCCUAAUACAUGCAAGUCGAACGAGAGCGACCGGUGCUUGCACUGGUCAAUCUAGUGGCGAACGGGUGAGUAACACGUGGGUAACCUGCCCAUCAGAGGGGGAUAACAUUCGGAAACGGAUGCUAAAACCGCAUAGCUCUUCGAACCGCAUGGUUUGAAGAGGAAAAGAGGCGCAAGCUUCUGCUGAUGGAUGGACCCGCGGUGCAUUAGCUAGUUGGUGAGGUAACGGCUCACCAAGGCCGUGAUGCAUAGCCGACCUGAGAGGGUGAUCGGCCACAUUGGGACUGAGACACGGCCCAAACUCCUACGGGAGGCAGCAGUAGGGAAUCUUCCGCAAUGGACGCAAGUCUGACGGAGCAACGCCGCGUGAGUGAAGAAGGUUUUCGGAUCGUAAAACUCUGUUGUUAGAGAAGAACAAGUGCUAGAGUAACUGUUAGCGCCUUGACGGUAUCUAACCAGAAAGCCACGGCUAACUACGUG
Molecule: ribosomal RNA, 498 nt
Filed under: uncultured bacterium
Lineage: Bacteria
Description: partial 16S ribosomal RNA
Rfam family: Bacterial small subunit ribosomal RNA
Source: RNAcentral